ACUCCUACGGGAGGCAGCAGUAGGGAAUCUUCCGCAAUGGACGAAAGUCUGACGGAGCAACGCCGCGUGAGUGAUGAAGGCUUUCGGGUCGUAAAACUCUGUUGUUAGGGAAGAACAAGUGCUAGUUGAAUAAGCUGGCACCUUGACGGUACCUAACCAGAAAGCCACGGCUAACUACGUGCCAGCAGCCGCGGUAAUACGUAGGUGGCAAGCGUUAUCCGGAAUUAUUGGGCGUAAAGCGCGCGCAGGUGGUUUCUUAAGUCUGAUGUGAAAGCCCACGGCUCAACCGUGGAGGGUCAUUGGAAACUGGGAGACUUGAGUGCAGAAGAGGAAAGUGGAAUUCCAUGUGUAGCGGUGAAAUGCGUAGAGAUAUGGAGGAACACCAGUGGCGAAGGCGACUUUCUGGUCUGUAACUGACACUGAGGCGCGAAAGCGUGGGGAGCAAACAGGAUUAGGUACCCUGGUAGUCCACGCCGUAAACGAUGAGUGCUAAGUGUUAGAGGGUUUCCGCCCUUUAGUGCUGAAGUUAACGCAUUAAGCACUCCGCCUGGGGAGUACGGCCGCAAGGCUGAAACUCAAAGGAAUUGACGGGGGCCCCCACAAGCGGUGGAGCAUGUGG
This 619-nucleotide ribosomal RNA is filed under the name uncultured bacterium. RNAcentral's name for it is "bacterial SSU rRNA". It matches the Rfam family "Bacterial small subunit ribosomal RNA", at positions 335 to 944 of the family's 1533-position model. The record is from RNAcentral.